UCAAUGCAAGUAGUGUUGCCUUAGUAGAAUUUUCUAUGAAAGGUAUCACUUGUGGCUGUGGAGCUACUUGACUUUGUGUAGCAUGGUCCUUGCCACUGCAUUGUACAUUAAUGAUGUCUCCAACUGCUAAGUUGAUGCAGGCUGAAGCAAUGUAUAUUCCAUAACCUAUCCAGAGCCAUUCUGGCUAUGACUGGAUAGACAGACCAUGCAAAGUACAAUG
This is a small nucleolar RNA of Uloborus diversus, 220 nucleotides long. RefSeq annotates it as small nucleolar RNA SNORA73 family. The record is from RefSeq and is a predicted model, not a curated record. The transcript has a single exon. Lineage: Eukaryota; Metazoa; Arthropoda; Arachnida; Araneae; Uloboridae.